RNAcentral lists this ribosomal RNA (437 nucleotides) under uncultured bacterium. Its description in RNAcentral is "bacterial SSU rRNA". It matches the Rfam family "Bacterial small subunit ribosomal RNA", at positions 8 to 492 of the family's 1533-position model. The record is from RNAcentral.
AGAGUUUGAUCCUGGCUCAGAGCGAACGCUGGCGGCAGGCCUAACACAUGCAAGUCGAGCGCCCCGCAAGGGGAGCGGCAGACGGGAGAGUAACACGUGGGAACGUACCCUUCAGUUCGGAACAACCCAGGGAAACUUGGGCUAAUACCGGAUACGUCCGUAAGGAGAAAAGAUUUAUCGCUGAAGGAUCGGCCCGCGUCUGAUUAGCUUGUUGGUGAGGUAACGGCUCACCAAGGCUACGAUCAGUAGCUGGUCUGAGAGGAUGAUCAGCCUCACUGGGACUGAGACACGGCCCAGACUCCUACGGGAGGCAGCAGUGGGGAAUAUUGGACAAUGGGCGCAAGCCUGAUCCAGCCAUGCCGCGUGGAUGAUGAAGGCCCUAGGGUUGUAAAGCCCUUUCGGCGGGAAAGAUAAUGACGGUACCCGCAGAAGAAGCC